This 70-nucleotide transfer RNA is filed under the name Cavia porcellus (domestic guinea pig). It matches the Rfam family "tRNA". From Rfam's summary of the family: Transfer RNA (tRNA) molecules are approximately 80 nucleotides in length. Lineage: Eukaryota; Metazoa; Chordata; Mammalia; Rodentia; Caviidae. The record is from Rfam by way of RNAcentral.
GGGAAUAUAGCUCAGUGGUACAGUAUCUGCCUGGCAAGCAAGAGAUCCUGAGUUCGAUUCCCACUACCCA